AGAGUUUGAUCAUGGCUCAGGAUCAACGCUGGCGGCGUGCCUAAUGCAUGCAAGUCGAACGGCUAUCUUUCGAGGUAGCAGUGGCGAACGGCUGAGUAGCACGUACGAACCUGCCCUCCAGUGGGGAAUAACCCAGCGAAAGUUGGGCUAAUACCGCGUACGCGCGCAAGCGGAAAGCCGCAAGGCGCUGGAGGAGGGGCGUGCGGCCCAUCAGGUUGUUGGCGGGGUAAUGGCCCACCAAGCCGGUGACGGGUCGCUGGUCUGUGAGGACGAUCAGCCAGACUGGGACUGCGACACGGCCCAGACACCUACGGGUGGCAGCAGCAAGGAAUCUUCCCCAAUGCGCGCAAGCGUGAGGGAGCAACGCCGCGUGCAGGAUGACGGCCUUCGGGUUGUAAACUGCUUUGAGGGGGGAUGAAACGGACAGUACCCCCAAAACAAGCCCCGGCUAACUCUGUGCCAGCAGCCGCGGUAAGACAGAGGGGGCCAGCGUUGUCCGGAUUGACUGGGCGUACAGCGCGCGCAGGCGGCGGGAGACGUGCCGUGUGACAGCGCGGAGCUUAACUCCGCGUGGUCAGGGUAGACGCUCCGGCUAGAGGGGUUGAGAGGGAUGUGGAAUACCCGGUGGAGCGGUGAAAUGCGUAGAGAUCGGGUGGAACACCAGAGGCGCAAGCGGCAUCCUGGCAACAUCCUGACGCUGAGGCGCGAAAGCGUGGGGAGCAAACGGGAUUAGAUACCCCCGUAGUCC
Molecule: ribosomal RNA, 748 nt
Filed under: uncultured Chloroflexota bacterium
Lineage: Bacteria; Bacillati; Chloroflexota
Description: bacterial SSU rRNA
Rfam family: Bacterial small subunit ribosomal RNA
Source: RNAcentral